This 8947-nucleotide long non-coding RNA is filed under the name Homo sapiens (human). RNAcentral describes it as "HSALNT0383074". Lineage: Eukaryota; Metazoa; Chordata; Mammalia; Primates; Hominidae. The record is from RNAcentral.
UUCCAUUCCUGAGUUACUUAAUUUAGAAUAAUCAUCUCAUCUGGGGUAAAAUACUUAACCACAAGCCCUGCUGUCAGCCCGCAGUGGUCAGACAAUUACCAUGGGGCCCCUCUGCCAUGGACAUCCCAUCUAUGUUGGUCAACAUGUCCCCAACCUGAAUUCUUUUAUUGCUUUCCUAGAAGUCACACACUUAGACAAUAGUGUGUGUGUCUGUGUAAGUGUGUGUGUUUGUGAAGUGAAAAAAAGAGGUGGGUUGCCAGCUUCCCUCACAACAUCCUCCUGCCUUUUCUUCACCACUGUGUUGCACACCUGUGGUUUGGGUGGGACUGACCCUACCCAUAGCUCCAGGGAUGGGGAAGGAAGUGGAUCUAAACCCUUCCGGAUCUGCAUCUCUUGGUGUAUAGUGGUUGGCUGAGGUGGACACAUGACCAAGGCUGAUCCAAUCAGAGGGAAAUCAAAGACCCUUUCUCAUUGGUCAAGUGUGAGGGCGGGCUUUCCCCAUGAAACAAGCAGUCUGCAAACAGAAAGCCUCGUAUUGCUAAUGCUUCCAGGAGGGAAGCUGGUCUGAGUACUAGAAUUAUCUUGGAAUUUUUCUCAACAUUCAUUCCUCUGUGCACCUCAAGAAUUGCCAAAGGUUCGGGCUGGCAGUUAUUUGCUCAGAAUAGAUUCCAAGAAAUCGAAUCAUGAGAUCGAAGGAGAUCAACAAGUUUGUGGCUCUUGAGACACAAUGCCAAAUAUCCUUCUAGAGAGCUGGCAGAUAUCAGAAACCUCUUCUCAGCUUUAGAGAUGCUUUUCACACAGACAGAAGAUUUCCUCUCCACACCAGAGGCAGCAGGAUAAGAUGUACCAUCAGACCGCACUGGCUUACCGUGGUGACAAGAAAGAAGAGGCCCUGACUGGGUGAGCUUCUUUAUUUAGCAAUUAACCAAAGACAAAUAAACCACUUCUAACCUUUUUCUUGCUUGAAUAUGUAGAAAUUAAAUGCAUUCAUUAUCCUGAGAGGAUUAUGAGCUUCUUUUUCCUGCAGUGACUCAAAUAUUUAUUUGACUGUAUGCAUAUGCUUUGCAGGAAUAAAAAUCAGCAUCUUCCAACUAAACCAUUUCCAUUGCAUCUAUAAUAACAUCUCUAAAAAGUAAUUCCUGUCAUUUCCAUUCCAUUUAUUUAUUACUCAACCAAAUAUACCCCCCUUGAAGGGUAGUAUUCUCUUGGACUAGGGCAUGGGAUUCACAGUUCCUCAAAGUGGUAAAUGUGAUAAAUGUUUUAACAUAUAUGGGAAUCCCACAAAGAACUCUCACUUUGGUAUUAAAUCAUGGAGGAACAUCAGGGUAUCCAUCUGCACACCCUAUGAAAUAAGAUGCAUUGGGUAAGUCAGCCAGGUGCUUUGUUUAUGUGGCAUCUGGACGCUUGGAAACUUCUGGAUGAGUAAACACUUUCUUUUGGGUCGAAAAGGUUUGGCUUUAACAUGUCGUCUAGUGGAAACCAAUCUAGAAUCACCAUGUUCGACUUUUCUAGUCUUUUAUGGGUCCAGUAAACUCAAGUGAAGGAAUCUUCAGAAGUGGGUUAACUUGUCCAUUCUCUUGGUAGUUGGAAUUCUUUCCUAAAUGUCACAUAAGAUAUUUGGAUACAAAUGUGUAGAGGAGAAAUGAAGGGACAAAAGAAUUAACAUUUGUUGAUCUCCUGCCAUAUGUAAGACACUGUGAUAGAUCACAUGUAUAAUAAUUUCAAUUUGUCAUUCCAACCUGGUGAGGGAGGUAUUAAUGGCUUCAUUUAACAGAUGAGGAAACUGAGGUUAAGAGAUUUCCUCUCUGACCACAAUUAUUAAAGUAUAAGUAAACUUUCCCAAUCUCUGAUGAAAGAACCUAGGAUUAUAGUUGAGUGAGUCACCAAUGCCCCAAAUUAUGACAUAGCCCAUGAAGAAAGAUACACUAAUACUCUUCAAGGACAGCAGGGUUGGGGUGAGGCAUUUGUCACUCUGCCUGAGGAUGCAACAUUCUCACUUGCCCUGGCCCCUCAGCUCAGGGCGAGCCACAGCACAGCAGAAGAGCAGAACCGCCCCUCCUGGAAGUUCUAGGUUCUGAAUGUGUCCAAUAGGCCCAGAGGUGAGGGUCUACAGGCAGAUCAGGGAGUCUGAGAGACAGAAGCCCCUUGCUUCAGCAGCAUUGGAUUUAAGGACAGAGCCUUAAAUCAGGAAGAAGUUCUCUCUCCAACCAUAUACAGGGGAAACUAAAGACUUUGCCUGGCAACCUAGAGACUUUAUCAUCGCAGGAGAUGGAUAACCAAGAUGAAACCAUGAGACAACAUUCUGGGCCAAGCAGUGAGCAAUGAGGAGACCCAGACCCCAGGUUCCUGGCUGUGUCUUUGGUGAGUAGAGACAUAUCCACAGCCACAGUGGAAGCAGCUGCAAUAGAAAGGAUUUAAGACAACAGUGAGGUUUCUGACUGGGGCUCACCUUAGCCUUGGGGCAGAGGGGUAUCUGUCACUUUCCUUAAUCUUCUCUCAGGCUAAAAAGAAGAGGCAUUAAGACAGAUUCCCUGAGGAUACUUCAAGAACCCUGAAAUUGCCUUGCUCACAUACCACCACACUAGAGAUGUUUCAGAAAAGCAGCUUCCCUUUUGGUGCCUCCAAUCCAGAAUGACUCCAGGACCCACCGAGAGGUGAGGCAGAGAGGACAAGGCAAGGACAAAACUUCUUUGGACUAUUUUCUGCACAUCCCCAGCAGAGAUUGAUGAAUGCCUCUGAGUCAGCAAAAUCUCCAGUGGUGAAACAGAAAGCGUACACUCCACACAUUCAAGCAGCCAGGCCAGCCCACACGGAGAAGAGGAUGUUCACAUCCAGCCUGUUCAGUGGACCCCAUGGGGCAUUUCAAAGGCUAUUACAUUUCCAGGACCUUCUAUCACACCCCCUUUCUUCCAUCCCUGCUAAUAUUUGUGACUUUCCAGCUUUCUUCUCUGAAAUUAAAAUCAAACCUUUGCAAAGUGAAAAUCAGUUCAUCUGAGCUAGUGCUGGUUAAGAUUUACAAAAUAAAGAGGAAUUUUACACCCACUGGCCUCAAAGAGUCAUUUUAGCUGGCAGUCAUGAGCUCCACCGAGGACCCGAGUGUUCUCUGUCUGACCGGGUUGCUGGCGGAAGGGAUGCGGGAAAUUCUUUGUGCUCUGUUGCUCUGCUCCAUACUUAGUGACGGAUCAUCUCUUGGGCCCCUGACACAAAGGAUGGCAAUGUCACCACUCAGCUCUCUGGCAGCCUAUUCUAGGCUGACAGUCUAGCCUCAGGGAUCACUGCAGACCCCUGCAGUUUCCCCUUCCAGUGAAAUCAGCUGGGUGCUGAUUUUACACCCACUGGCUGAGACACAAACAACAUCCCUCUCUCGCCUACAGAGAUGGGCUGGCACUGACUCCAGCACCCUGAGAGGCCAAUGCCAACUUCACACUUGCAUCUUAUUGGAGUCAUGCAUUUUGCAUAGAAGUUGUUUAAGGUUAUAUGUGUAAUGCGCACCUGGAAAAGUCUUCCAGGGGUGGGACAGCAAGAUAAAGGAGAAGCAACAGACUUUGAAGUCAGAUAUAACUGGAUUUUUGAAAUCCUAGAUCUGUCACUGACUAGUUUUUCCAAGUUACUUUACCCUCUUAGAGCCUAUGUUUUCUCAUCUGUUAAACAGUGAAAAUCAUGUUUGUCUUUCAGGUCAUUAUAAAGGUUAGAAAUGGUAUAAUGUAAGAUACCUAGUACAAAAUGGAUGCAAAGAAAGAGCUUAUCAGAUUAUAACUCUUGGUAGUGGUGAUAGUAGUAUAAUUAUUAUAAUUUGAUUUUAAAUUAGAAAAAAAGGAACAGGUUAUAUAAGACAGUGGGAAACAACUGAUUUAUUCGUAUCAGUUUCUUUUGCUUUCUAUGAAGAAGUCUGUAUGGGAGAAAAUAAACCUUUCAACUUCAUUCAUAUAAAGGAACCCACAGUAACAAUGAGUGGCAACACAGGACAGGAAAAUCACAUUAGGAACUGGGGUCCAGCACUCAUGCCUUAAGGUCUCUGAGCAACACUCCCCUCAUUGCAUAAAUACAGACUAUCACUCUACUCAUCUCACAGAGUCAUUUAAAGACCAAAUAAGAGCGAUUAGGAAAACCAUUGAAAAUCUGUAAAGCACUGUACAAGAUUUUUUAAUGCAGUUCCAUUUUUUCAUGCUACCGAAGAUAUGUGCAAAUAUUCCAAACAUCAUCGCAAAUACAGGAAGGAAGCCAUGUGGGGAUCGUUCCUACUUUUUAAUACAGCUCGAUAAGCAAAAACCCUGCCAUCUCAGCAGCUCCUACUGAUACACAGUCUUUGUCUUAAGCAAAAACCCUGACAUCUCAGCAGCUCCUACUGAUACACAGUCUUUGUAUAAACUACGUGGUUCUCUACUCUGGCUGUACAAUAGUGUCACUAUGGAGCUAUUAAAAAAUGUAUAUGCCCAUGACUCAUCCAUAGACAUUCUGGCUUAGUUAUUCCAGAGCACAGCCUGUGCUUUUUAUCAGCAGCUCCUCAGGUGAUUCUAUUGGGCAGUUAGGAUUAAGGACAUUCAUCUAGUGCAGUGGUUGUCAACUGGAAGUGAUUUUUCCCCCCAGGGGACAUUUAGCAAUACCUGGAGACGUUUCUGGUUGUCACAACUGGGAGCAGGGUGCUACAGGCAUCUAGUGAGUGGAGGCUAGGGAUGCUGCUAGGCAUCCUACAAUGGAAAGGACGGCCCCUCAGAACAUGGAAUUGUCCAGCCCAACAUGUCAAUAGUGCAUGACUUUGAGAGGGGCCACACAGAGGACUCAUUCUAAAGAAAGUCAGGAACUGCCCAUACUGCACAAACAUAGCUCAGCAAUAUUUCUGGUUUCACAUGCUCUCCAGAACCUUGUCAUUUCCUCCAUUAGAAGAUGGAGUCUAUUUCUUCUUUUUGAAAUUGAACUGGUCUUUAUUACUAUCUCAACAAAUAGAAUUCAAGGAAAUAACAUGCCUGACUUCUGAGGCAAAGUCACAAAAGGCUUCUGCUUGUCUUUCUCUCUCAAGAUCUCUUUCCAAGCCAACAGGUUAAAAAAAAAAAUCCAGCUACCCUGGAGCUGCCAUGUUGGAAAGAUCACAUUUAAAGAUCGUAUGGAGAUAGAGAGAGAUGCUCAAAAGAAGCCCCAGCCAUCUGCGUCUUCCAGUUUGGGUACCAGAUAUUUGUGUGGGUGAGCCCUCCGAUGAUUCCAGCCCCCACCUUCCAGCUGCCCCAGGUAAUGUCAAGUGGAAUAGGGGCCAGGUGUCUGCCCAGACUGCAGAUUUAUAAGCAAAGUAAAUGGCAUGGAGGUUUUGGUUCUACGGGGAGUAUAUGUUUGCUUGCUUGUUUGAUAUGUAAUAAUAGAUAACCAGAAUAAAGUCCUUUAUGAUUCUAUAAAAGAUCCAUCUCUAAACCCUCUUCAUUGGGCCACCAAGGUCAAAAGCUUACAUAUACUUGUACAGGGAAUGAGUUUUAUAUAUUUCCAGCCCACUCCCAACUCUGCAACUUCCACCUCCAUUCUCAGUAAAUAUGCCAGUUUACUUAAGAAUUCCUCCCAUUCAUUUCUGUUGUGCUUUCUGUGGUCUGGAAGAUCAUAUUUUCCAACAUGUGGGUCAAGGGUCUUAUGGGUCUUUUUUGUUCUUGGUGAAGUUUUCCAUUGUGGAAGCAAAUAUAAGCAUAAAUAUAGGUGAAUCAAUACAAAUAAAUAAAUAACAUAUGUUUAUUCUGAUAAUUAGCAAAUUGGUAGUUACUAAACAUCUUUCAUUUACCAGGUCUUCCAGAAGGGUGCACUUAACUGUGGAGGAAAAACAACUCAUUAAAGUCUUUGAAGGUGACAUUGCCAAGGGAGAUAUUCUGCAGGCAAAGUGGACAGAAUGUCCUGAGACAUCCUUGCUUUAAUCAAUGUUGAAACAACUGAGAAGCUAAAACAUCAGGUUUUGCAGUUGGAUCAGGGGAGCAGGAUGAGUACUGACUAAGCACCUACUGUGUGCAGAUCCUGAGCAAAGUAGUUACGGCAGUUAGCAGGGGUAAUUGCAUUUAAUUUUCCCAACAUCCUUGGGAGCUAAGAACCAUCCUCUACUGCCCGGUCUUCUCUCUCUCCCCCUCUCUAUCUCUGCAUCUCCCUCUCUUUCCAGACAUUCCUGUUUAUUCCCAGUAAAACUAAAAUCUACACAAGCUCCACAUAUCUUUGAUUAAAUCUUGAUCAAAAUCCAAUAACUCAGAAACUGUAAGUUUCAACAAGGAGUUAAUAAUUUAAAGUUGUUGACACAAGUGCUUUUGAGACUGGUAGUAGGCUCUCUCCUCUGAUGUUGGAAUAAGCUGAAAGGCACAAAAAAUAGCAGUAGACAAGUGGGGAAAGUGUCACAUUCAAAGCUAAAUCCAUACUGAAUCUGUAUCUCACAUGAUAAAAUGAGUGUUUUGUGUGCAAGAACUUCUCCUCGAGAGAUUUUUUUUUUAACCCCCGGUGGUUUAAUUGUGAAAUUGCUCUUAAUCUUGAGAGUACGGAGCUUGCUUUUUGGUUGGCUGGCUAGGUGGUUGGUUGGUUGACUGUAGAAAACUUAUUUCUAUUCAUUGUGUGUUAGUUACAGAAAAGUGAAUUUACUCAUAAGCUUUGUAAUAGUCAACCCUCUGACUAUGAAUUCACCGACUGUAUUAUAAUAAACGCAGCCCACUGUGUAAAGAUGUAAAUCUCUUGAUGUUAAGAAGGGUUUUCUUCCUUGCAUAAACUGUACAAGAAAAUAAUGGUGCUUAUAGCAGAAAUGUCUUUAAGGCCUACAUAAAAACCUCAAUUUUUCAAAACACUCAAAUGGCUUCUACUAUUACCUCUAAAGACUAGUUUAGGAAUUGCAUAUUUCUUUCUCCAAUAACAUUCUAUGGGUUCUCCCACCUCCAGUCUCUCUCCUCAAUGAUCCUUUCUUCACCAAUGUGGUGAUUCUGCUAGUUGCUCAGGAUGUCUCUUCUAAUUAUGCAUUCCUGAACUGGGGGGAAAACCACAGAACAAGCUUGAGGACCCGCUGUGAGAUGGACCUGAGCUAAAACUCCAUUGAUCACCUAACCACCAUAAGCUCCUACUCUGACUGAUGGGCCACAGUGACGUUUUCAGUCUCUUGGAAUUAGUGUCAGUUCAGAGCAAGUAUCUUCAAAAGGUCUGACUAUUUUCCUUUCCCCAAUGCACAGUCACCUAGUAAAAGCCCACAGGUCUCUUUGGGGAACACUGAGAGAAAGAUUAAUGGUAUAAAUUUUUGGCAGUGUACUGGGGUCCCUCCUCAAGGAGAUUCAGCCUCCCUUUCAUUCAAGGGUUUCUGGGUCUGUAAACUGGCUCAAGUCUGGGAAUUGACCAAGAAGCCAUGAUGCUCUGUUUCUAUAUUUCAUGAGACUUCUGUUCACUUGACCUAGAAGUUUACUCUUAUACAGAUCAAGUAAGAGUUUAGUAGACCUCCUAUUUAUUUCAUUUCUAAAAAUGCCACAAUGAACUAGCCAGUACCACAGGUCUACAUAGGUCAGACUGUUCUGAUUUCUGCUUUGCCUCUGCUGUCCACUACAAUAACCACACUCCCCUUGCCUUUGGUGACUGAGUGCCACCACUUGGCCCUUGCACCCUGGGAUCCAAUUAUUCCCACUGCAUUUAGGUAUUGCAACUCCAUGACUACAGUCCACACUGUAAGGUCUGUUCCAGAGAGCACAGUAAUCACAGAUCUCUUUAAGAACACUGAGGAUCCCCUCAAAAAACUCACAUAGUCAUGGUAAAAGAUGUGUCCUCUGAACCCUCCAAGUGAGGGUGAGUAAGUCUGAAAUGAAAAAUCCGCUCUAACAUGCAAAUAUUCCUAGGCCUUUCAAUCUCUUCCUCUACCAUAAACCAACAUAGGUCUGGCAUUUCGACUUCAUUUACUAUGGGCCACAUUUUGGUCUACAUUUCAGCCAACCAAUGAAACAAAUAGUAGAGUUUUUUCCAGCCCUACAAGCUGCAACAUUAAAUGCAGAAUUUCUGCUUAGUGGGCCCAAAUCAAUAAAUGUAGCCUGACCCAACUUUAUGUUUCUUCCACCAGUAUCCCACACCCUUAAUAUCCAUUCCUACAUAUACUUUCCAGAAAAAUCAAGUCAUUCUUUUGGAGUGUAACCACCUCUUCAUGGUCCACACGUUGUGCCUCACCUUUAGAGGCCUGAUGGGACUUGACUCUAGUUACAGGUCUAGAAGCAAAGAGGGGUGGAGGGGUUGGGUCCUGAUGAGAAUCAGCAAGUCUUGCAAGGCAACUGCCUCAGGAGAGGCAAUUACAGACUCCUCAGUCAAUGCAAAGUUCAUCUCCUCUGAAUGGGGGCAGAGAGGAUGCUUAUAAUGGCAAAGAAGACUCAUCAGAAUGUAGGGGCUCAGUGUUCCCAAUUUCAUCAGUCUUCCCACACAUCCCCAUGCUAACUUUCAGGAUCUCAUUCCUUCCCAAUCAAUGUUCUCACUUUAACAGAAGACACCCUGCAAGGCUGGGAAUUCAAUUUUCACUAUAAUUCAGCCACUCACAGAAUGAGAUUCUGGGUUUGGUUUUCAGCAAUCUCAGGAGAUAAGGAUCUCUUUCAAGGGAAACACAGAAGCUUUCAAAUCCUUUAUGCAGCAUUUGAACUGGGAAUUUGAAUCCUUGGGCUCAUUCAUUUCUUUCCCCCACUUUGUCCAGUAACAUUAGUGCUAACAGCCAAAGUCUUUAUACUCAUUAGUUUCACAAAAAUGUUUGAAGGUAUCAUGUACUCGGUCACCCAGAUUCUUGCCUAUUAUAAGUAUUUGAUUAGAUGUAUCUAGUGAUAUUUUAUGUAUCUUCAUUGCCACGUCACAACAUGGACUAUCAGUGCUCUCUUUACUCCUAGAAAUAGAGUCAAAAGGGUCUUUAACGUCGAAUCAACAUAAGUGCCCAUCAACGGGGGAUUGGAUAAAGAAAAGGUGGUGCAUAUACACCAUGGAAUACUACACAGCCAUAAAC